RNAcentral lists this unclassified non-coding RNA (214 nucleotides) under Mycobacterium triplex. Its description in RNAcentral is "partial 16S-23S ribosomal RNA intergenic spacer". Lineage: Bacteria; Bacillati; Actinomycetota; Actinomycetes; Mycobacteriales; Mycobacteriaceae. The record is from RNAcentral.
AAGGAGCACCACGAGAAACACUCCAAUUGGUGGGGUGUGAGCCGUGAGGGGUUCUCGUCUGUAGUGGACGGGGGCUGGGUGCACAACAGCAGACAAUCGCCAGACACACUAUUGGGCCCUGAGACAACACUCGGCCGACUUAGGUCGAUGUGGUGUCCCUCCAUCUUGGUGGUGGGGUGUGGUAUUUGAGUAUUGAAUAGUGGUUGCGAGCAUC